Molecule: long non-coding RNA, 538 nt
Organism: Brassica napus (rape)
Lineage: Eukaryota; Viridiplantae; Streptophyta; Magnoliopsida; Brassicales; Brassicaceae
Exons: 2
Source: RefSeq, a predicted model, not a curated record
AAGUACGUCGUCUUGUGUGCUCCUUUGAGCUCAACGAGAUAAACACUUCCUAUAUCUCCGUAACCUAGCCGUUUCAGAACGCGGAAAUCGCUGAUUCCGAGCUUGAGUCCUCUCGCUUUCAGAUAGUUCACCGCGUCCCACCUGAUAUCUCCUCCCGUGUGAGGCUUGUUGGAUGAUGUGCUUUCCAUGCUGUUGCUUCGUGAGCUCAUGGUACUGUGUACAAGUCGGGUAUUCAGAUUGAUGAUUGUUGUUGAGAUGUUGAGGCCGAGUCACGAUGAAGACUCUUCUGCAAGUAACGGAAAAAGAACAUUAGGGUUAUGAGUUUCACAACUUUCUGUAAAGCAGUUUGUGUAUAUGACACAACUUUAUAGUCUUUAUUAUUGACAUGAUAUUUUGUGUUUAUCUAUUCACACAAGAUCACCCUAAGUAGCCAAACUUAUCUAUCUAUACAUGUAUAUCUAAUAGGAUAUGUGUAUAUCCGUAUAACUUCUGAUACUUUCGUCAAGGAUGAUAUGAUUGAGAUGAUUACCUUCGGCGA